AUACGGAGGAUCCGAGCGUUAUCCGGAUUUAUUGGGUUUAAAGGGUGCGCAGGCGGCCAUUUAAGUCAGCGGUUAAAUCGUGGGGCUCAACCCCAUUCUGCCGUUGAUACUGGGUGGCUUGAUUGCGGUCGAGGUUGGCGGAAUUCGUUGUGUAGCGGUGAAAUGCAUAGAUAUGACGAAGAACACCGAUUGCGUAGGCAGCUGACCAGACCGCAAAUGACGCUCAUGCACGAAAGUGCGGGGAUCGAACAGGAUUAGAUACCCUGGUAGUCCGCACAGUAAACGAUGAAUACUUGUUUUCGGCGAUAUAAUGUCGGAGGCAAAGCGAAAGCGAUAAGUAUUCCACCUGGGGAGUACGCCGGCAACGGUGAAACUCAAAUGAAUUGGCGGGA
This 392-nucleotide ribosomal RNA is filed under the name uncultured bacterium. Its description in RNAcentral is "partial 16S ribosomal RNA". It matches the Rfam family "Bacterial small subunit ribosomal RNA", at positions 523 to 918 of the family's 1533-position model. The record is from RNAcentral.